Molecule: non-coding RNA, 1148 nt
Organism: Oryza sativa Japonica Group (Japanese rice)
Lineage: Eukaryota; Viridiplantae; Streptophyta; Magnoliopsida; Poales; Poaceae
Source: RefSeq, a predicted model, not a curated record
AUGUGACAAGCAUAUAGUCUGUCAUAAAACGGUUUGUACUGUGCGUACUAUAGCUGCAUAUAUAACUUUCGACUCAAAAAAUUAGUUGCUGAUUAUUGAUGCAGCAGCAAUAUGCAUGUGCAAAUUACAGUACCGGCCUGCCGGUUAUCAUCAACGUGCAUUCGUUACAGCUAACAAACUAUUUACCUACAAUAGAAGAUACUAUAAUAUUAGCAUAUAUACAUAAAAAAAAGCUUUCACUGAAUAUGUGACAAGCUUUCACUCUAAAACUUAAAAAUGGUUUGUACUCUGCGUAUGACACAAUGUAAUGAUGAUGUGGAGUGUUACAACAUUUCACAUGACAAAACUGGUGCUGAAAAAAAGGUUAUCGUUCACAAGGAGUUGCCACUUGCGGUCGAGGGUAGAAAAGGGAGUGGGCAAAAGGCCUUGGCACUUCUGGAAUUUGUGCGAACAAGACCCCUGGUGACCAAAGUUUGGCUUUGGUGAUCUCGAGUACGAAACAAGAGCUCUAGGUUGGGUCUAUACUGAUGUAGAAACCGAGGCUGACCCAGAUUCAAAUAAGAAACAGAGGAUUGUUCCCUCCUGAUCAGCGGAUCCGGUGGUGACUCCGGAGCAGUCCGGGCAGACGCAAUGAGUAUCAUGUCAUGGAACUUUUGGUAUCGGACGCGACAAUGGGAGAGCUUCGCUGGUUAGUGAAGACGUACAGAUAGACCCUAUCUCCUCUUCCUCUCAGAGACAACGAUGAGGAAUGAGAAAACUCGGAGGCUAGUGUGGUCCUUGGGCUACACGAGCUCCUUUGCAGUAAGUUGUGAUGGCUGCAGUGGUGGUCUUGUUCUAAUCUGGUCAGCGGCAUAUGAUGUCUCGAUGCGUGGCUACAAUCCACAUUGUAUCGAUGUUGUAGUUUUAGUGGAAGGGUCAGAUCCAUGGCGCGUGACCUUUGUUUAUGAACCAAGAAGUGUGUUCCGGCAUGUUUUCUAGUAUCCUUUUACGUGUCCACAGUCAGUGGAGGGUGCUUUGGUUGUGUUGUGGGGACUUUAAUGAGGUCCUAUGUCUUGAUGAACACAUGGGAGCCCAAGCUAGGGUGGAAACAUAGAUGGAACAAUUUAGAAACUGUAUAGAUGAGUGUGGUUUAAUCUACCUUAAUUUUA